AACGAACGCUGGCGGCAUGCCUAACACAUGCAAGUCGAACGAGACCUUCGGGUCUAGUGGCGCACGGGUGCGUAACGCGUGGGAACCUGCCCUUAGGUUCGGAAUAACUCCCCGAAAGGGGUGCUAAUACCGGAUAAUGUCUUCGGACCAAAGAUUUAUCGCCUUUGGAUGGGCCCGCGUUGGAUUAGCUAGUUGGUAGGGUAAAAGCCUACCAAGGCGACGAUCCAUAGCUGGUCUGAGAGGAUGAUCAGCCACACUGGGACUGAGACACGGCCCAGACUCCGACGAGGGGCGGAAGUGGGAAAUAUUGAACAAGGGGCGAAGGCCAAAGCCAGCAAUGCCGCAAGAGUGUUGAAGGCCUUAGGAUUGUAAAGCUCUUUUACCCGGGAUGAUAGUGACAGUACCGAGAGAAUAAGCCCGGGAUAACUCCG
Molecule: ribosomal RNA, 431 nt
Filed under: uncultured bacterium
Lineage: Bacteria
Description: partial 16S ribosomal RNA
Rfam family: Bacterial small subunit ribosomal RNA
Source: RNAcentral